Molecule: long non-coding RNA, 1296 nt
Organism: Salvelinus fontinalis (brook trout)
Lineage: Eukaryota; Metazoa; Chordata; Actinopteri; Salmoniformes; Salmonidae
Exons: 3
Source: RefSeq, a predicted model, not a curated record
AUUAACAUAAUAUUUGGUGAAAUCGUCUUUGGGGUUGAACUUGAAGGGCUUUGAAAAGUGAAUGAAAAAUUGACUAUUUAAUUGUUUCGCAGCGACUUUGCAACACUAAUUGCUGCGAACACACCUCUCAAAUACGUCAAUUUAAUCGUCAUUUCGAUGCGACAUGUUGUCAAAAAGCUAACAGCACAGCAGGUGUGACGCACAGACCCCAUUAUGCCGCGUUCAAAUCAACUGGAAAUUCGGGAAAAUACGAGGGUAUUUCGGAUCGCCUGGGGCGCAGUCCACACUCCCACAAGACACUGUGAGCGACAGAAGGUACAUUGUCCAGGAGGCCCAGACCCUCUUCAGACAGGACCAACAGGUAAAGACAGACCCUAUGUUUGUCUGUGUAGCUCGGUAUCAUCUUUAUCUGUUUGAUUAAUCUGUUGCUCUGUGUAUCCCUUUCAGUUGACAGAUCAGGAAUCAAUAAAGAAGUGCUUAGCAGAAUGUGAGGCAAGGAUAGAAAUUAGUGAGUGUCAAGAAAAGCCUGGUUGACAUUUUCAAAUUCUUUCAUUUAGUAAUAAUCUCUGGACAUAUCAGACACGUUUUAGAGUUCACACUUAAAUGCUUUGGUGUGAGAAUCUGAGCGAUGUUUUUCCCCACUAAGUUUCGCAGGUCUUUAUUACAGGAAUCCCUAUCCAAGACUUGUAAGUGACAGACAUCUAAACCAGAAUAAAUGUUUAUAUAUCUCAGGCAAUAUUGUGUGAAUUCACUAUUAUUUAAUGUAAUGGUUUUAUUUCGGUUCCAUACCCUUCGUUGCAGAUCUACCUGCUUAUAAUGGGACUGGCAACCCAGAAAGGCAGGAAGCUGAAAGCACAGCAACGCUUGAGGAAGCAGGCCAAGCCAGUUUACUUACAGUCACAUGAGGACAGCUGAUACUACAGCUGAUACUAGAUGAACUCUAUAUUCUUGUGAAGGUUUUAUGUUACCAAGUACACGAGGGGAGUUACUGACUGAACUCAGGAGUUGAGUUGAAAAUCCAUCUUAUAUAUUGGAGGAAAAUAGUCAUUAAUUUCCAUUGUUCAUCACGCAAAUCAAUGUUCAUCAAGCACAUUGCAUUGUAAACUGCACUGUAGCAUCCACUCCAUGAUGUCUGCAACAGUACACUGUACCAAGUAUAUUUAUGCAUGUGAUUCCUGACAAAGAGCUGCUAUGUAGAUGUCAGCAUUGUCUGUCCUGUAAGAUAAGUAGCCAUAAAGAUUUAUGAUACUAUUUUGAAUAUAUUUAUCAUUUCAAUAAAUUGAGAUUUGAAAAGCA